UAACCUCUGACGAAGAUAUCGUGAACGUUG
RNAcentral lists this non-coding RNA (30 nucleotides) under unclassified sequences. Its description in RNAcentral is "L19-Flavobacteria ribosomal protein leader". It matches the Rfam family "L19-Flavobacteria ribosomal protein leader". The record is from RNAcentral.